GCACCUGUAGCUCAGCCUGGAUAGAGCAGUGGCCUCCUAAGCCAAAGGUCGGGGGUUCGAAUCCUCCCAGGUGCG
RNAcentral lists this transfer RNA (75 nucleotides) under Candidatus Woesearchaeota archaeon. Its description in RNAcentral is "tRNA-Arg". It matches the Rfam family "tRNA". From Rfam's summary of the family: Transfer RNA (tRNA) molecules are approximately 80 nucleotides in length. Their secondary structure includes four short double-helical elements and three loops (D, anti-codon, and T loops). Further hydrogen bonds mediate the characteristic L-shaped molecular structure. tRNAs have two regions of fundamental functional importance: the anti-codon, which is responsible for specific mRNA codon recognition, and the 3' end, to which the tRNAs corresponding amino acid is attached (by aminoacyl-tRNA synthetases). tRNAs cope with the degeneracy of the genetic code in two manners: having more than one tRNA (with a specific anti-codon) for a particular amino acid; and 'wobble' base-pairing, i.e. permitting non-standard base-pairing at the 3rd anti-codon position. Lineage: Archaea; Nanobdellati; Candidatus Woesearchaeota. The record is from RNAcentral.